UCACCUCCACCCAUUUCCCCUACUGCCUUAUCUGCUCGCCACCGAAUUCGAAGGAGAGGUGGCCGGCGUUGGGCAUGCGGGGACAAAGGCGAACGCCGUCCAGCAGUCAGAGCGAUGCGCGGGUGGCGCGCGAGUGCAGUGGUGAGGCUGCGGAAGGGCGGCGACCGACAACACCAGGCUGCGGCCCUGCGGAGGGGGGGGCGUCCGGCGGGUACCAGGCUGCAGCCCUUGCGGGUGGGAGAGUGCGUCCAAUGCGUGCCGGUGUAGAAGCCUCGAUGUCAUCCUUUUCUAAUGGGCUCGCUAGAUGGAGGUCCGGUCACGGGAGCGACGCGGAUUGCGCACGGGCGCGGAGGCGAUGGCCAUGGCUUCUCUGUUUUGAUUCGUUGCCGCGUCGUGGAUGAGGCCAUCAAAGAACCAUUAAGGGAGGCGAAGGGCGAAGAGGAGCCUGCAACACAUGUGCUGGUAGUGGUGGAGGAAGCCCCAACAUCGGUGGCCAUCUGCUUUGUUUUUAUCGUCGCGUCGGCGGAUGAGGGUGUCGAGGUGCAACUUCGGGAGGCAGAGGUCGACGAGGAGCCGCUGAUGCAGGUGUUCUACUAGCAGAGGAGGCCUUCGCGCAACUCGUCUAGCCGCCGUAGCCCCACCAAUGCGUCUGCUCGCUGCCGCCACUGUCCCUCGACAAAUCUAGCAACCUACAUCGGCGCGAGGUAUGGGUCGUCAUUUUUCCUCCUCGUGUAUUGAUACAUUAUAAUUUUUGGGUUCACUUUCAUGCACAUUAGAGACGGGCGACCUGAAUUUAGUGAUGGAGCAGCCUUUUUUAUAAAUCUCGGGGUAGUUGUAGGGCCGUGAUGUGGUUGCCACACGCGAGCUGCAGUAGUAGGGGGCGUGGUCUUGGAGUUUGCUGGAAGGCUCGAAUUCAUCUUGCAGAUUGUUCUUUGAAUAGGACCAAUAGCAAAGAGUGGGGAGUGAACAACUAGCAUGAUAAGGCAUUAUCUAUAGAAGUAACAACAAUUAGUCUAUAAGGGUCAUUAUUGACAUGAAUGGCAAAAUAAAUUGCUUUGCAUGAUGAUGAAUUUUUUAACAUCGAAACUUCUACCACUCUUUUCACCAUGGCAAAUGGAAAGGCAGCACAUGAUGGCAACUCUAGUUUCCUUGUUAUUCAUUUUCAGAGUUCAUUUUUCCAUGUCACCAUGUUCUACUUUUGCUUCCCUUUUAGUGUCGAUUUUCUUCUGCUGGUCCACGCUAGCUUUUGUUAGUAAAUAGUUGGCAUGGUAGAACUGCUAUGAAUUUGUUAUGAAUUUUGAUAUAUCAUGGCAAUUUCUUUACUAAAUAGUUACCAUGAUAGCUUCUGUUUAGUAAAUAGUUGCCAUGGAAAAGUGCUAUUCGUUCUUUUACAGAUUUUUUGCCAUGUCAAUCCACUAUGUUGUCUAAAUUUGCCAUGUAUUAGAGAUCUCUAAUUAAAUAUCUCUAAAAUUGCCAUGACGAAUGAUCUUUAGAUCAUACCAUUUUUUCUACAUUUCUCAUGAAUUAGACAUCGUUUAAUUUCACAUACCAUGGCAAACCAUUAUGAAUUAGAGAUCAUUUGCCAUGGUAAAUUAUCAUCAAUUGAUGAAUUGUCAUCAAUUGAUAUGGCAGAUUUACAAUCUUUAAUACCGACCAUCUUUCUUUUUUGUAAAUACUCCCUCCGUUCCUAAAUGUAAGUCAUUUUAGACAUUUCAAAUGGAGUACAAGAUACGGAUGUAUGUAGACAUAUUUUAGAGUGUAGAUUCACUCAUUUUGCUCCGUAUGUAGUCACUUGUUGGAAUAUCUAAAAAGACUUAUAUUUGGGAACGGAGGGAGUAGUUGCCAUGGCAAAUUUUGAUAUGAAUAUGUUAUGAAUUUUCAUAGACCGUGGCCUUAUUCAUUUCCAAAGAUCAUUUUGCCAUGUCGCCAUGUUUUACUUCUGCUUCCAUUUUAGUGUCAAUUUUUUGCUGUUGGUCCAUGAUAGCUUUUGUUAGUAAAUAGUUGCCAUGGCAGAACUACUAUGAAUUUUAAUAUACCAUGGCAAUUUAUUUAGUAAAUAGUUGCCAUGAAGCUUUUGUUUAGUAAAUAGUUGUCAUGGCAAAUAGCUGUUCAUUCUUCUACAAAUCGUUUUUGCCAUGUCAAUCCACUAUGUUGUGUAAAUUUGCCAUCUGUUAGAGAUCUUUAAUUACAUAUAUCUAAAAUUGCCAUGACAAAUUAUCUUUAAUUCAUACCAUUUUUUCUACAUUUCUCAUGCAAUAGGCAUUGUUUAAUUUCAUAUACCAUGGCAAAUCAUGAUGAAUUAGAGAUCAUUUGCCAUGGUAUAUCAAUUGACAUGAAAAAUUUACAGUCAUUAAUACAUAUCAUCUUUAUUUUUAGUAAGUAGUUGCCAUGGCAAAUUUUGAUAUGAAUAUGCUAUGAAUUUUCGUACAUCAUGGCAAAUUGUGUAUUCAUUUACAGAGAUUGUUUUGCCAUGUCACCAUGUUCUACUUUGCUUCCUUUUAGUGCUGAUUUUUGUUGCUGGUCCAUGAUAGCUUUUGUUAGUAAAUAGUUGCCAUGGCAAAACUGCUAUGAAUUUUGAUAUACCAUGGCAAUUUCUUUAGUAAAUAGUUGCCAUGAUAGCUUUGUUUUAGUAAAUAGUUGCCAUGGCUAAUUGCUAUCAUUAUUUUACAUAUCAUUUUUUUUCAUGCCAAUCCACUAUGUUGUCUUAAUUUGCCGUGUAUUAGAGAUUUUUAGUUACAUAUAUGUAAAAUUUCCGUGACAAAUGAUCUUUAAUUCAUACCAUUUUUUCUACAUUUCUCGUGAAUUAGACAUCGUUUAAUUUCAUAUAUACCAUGGCAAAUCAUUAUGAAUUAGAGAUCAUUUGCCAUGGAAAAUUGUCAUCAUUUGACAUGGAAAAUUUACAAUCUUUAAUACCUAUCAUCUUUCUUUUUAGUAAAUAGUUGCCAUGGAAAAAUCGAAUAUGAAUAUGCUAUGAAUUUUCAUAUACCAUGGGAAAUUGUUAUUCAUUUUCAAGGAUCGUUUUGCCAUGCCAAUGCACCAUGCGCUCUAAAUUUUCUCAGGGUUUUUUUGUAUGGCAAUUUGCAUGUGUGUGAGUUGCCCACUCAUUUUUGUCAUUUGAUGUAGAACAAUCAAUUUUUCUUUUACGAACUUUACCAUGUGAAGGUCACGGUUACUUUCUGAUCUUCCAUCGAUGAUUCAUAUCAUUUGGCCAGUCUCCAAAUUUUUUCUAUGGCUAAUUUCGUUGUUCAUUAAAUCUGAUGUUUAAAUCCAUUUAUACAUUAACGGCAAUUUUUUUGUAACAUACAUCGGCAAAUACUUUUAUUCAAAAUGGCAUGGCAACUCUUUUUAUUUGUAUGUCAAUUGCAAACAAUUCUUUGCUCUUGCAACAUGGCAAAACAAAUUACUUUUUAUGAGAUCAUGGCAAUUUAAGUACAUCGAGCAUGGCAUUUGUAGUUUAUGUAUAAUGGCAAAUUAUUUUUCUUUUGCAACAAUGGCAAAACAUUACUUUUCUAAUGGGAACAUGGCAACUGAAGUUCACGAAGCAUGGAAAAUAUAGUUUAUGUGGCAUGUCAAAUUCAAUUCUUUUUGUAACAAUGGCAACAAAUUACUUUUCUUGCCAGGACAAUGGCAACUUAAUUGCAUGGAGCAUGGCAAAAUGUAGUUUAUGGGCCGCAACAUUUUUUUAAUAUAUGAAUACAUUCCUGGCAAUUUUCUUACACAAAGCAUGACAAUUAUAACUAAAACACCAUGGCAAAUAUUAAUAUGCAUAUGUCAUGGCAAAUUUUUGUUCAUACUUUGAGAUAUUUUACAUAAACAGCAAAUUUAUCAUAAAACAUGGUAAAUUUAAUUAAAAUACGAUGGCAAGUUUUCAAUGUCAACCUGCCAUGGCAAAUUUGUGUUCAUAUGUUUGUGCUUUGUUCAUUCUAAUUUUCCAUGUUUUUUUUGGCCAUGCUAUUUUCCGAACAUAAACUUUUGCCAUGUCAAUUAUGGGAAAUUGCCAUGUGAGCAUUAUCAGAGAUGUUGUGACAAUAGUUUUGCCACCUUUUUUUAGAAAUCAAAUUGCUCUAAAAGUUGUCAUUGUAAAAAAAAACAUCAUAGCAAAUCGUAAAGUAGUUUGAUCAACUCGAAUGGCAAUUUUUUAGGAAAUUUUCAAUUGUAUAUAAAAAUCAUGGUAUUUUUUUUAGUAAAAUGGGUCUAAUAUAGUCACGUGGCUAAAAACAUAAAUUUUAUGUUAUUUUAUUUUUAUGUCUCACCGAUGGCAAUUUUCCCUUGUAUACGUCAUGGGAAAUUUGGUUUCUUUUUUGUUUAGCUAUUUACAAAAUGAAGUCUAAACACAAGUUUUUAACCCUUGUCUAAAAAAACUGGGCUUUUUUUGGCCCAACUAGAGGUUCGAUCAGGGGAGGGGUGUUAGAGUGGUUAGCGUGGGGGCCUGCGAGCGAAGGAAUAGUUCGUUCUACUCCCUCCCGAGAUCGAACGUUUUCGUUCAGCACGGAGAUCAUUCCUUGGGGAACGAUUAGUUCAUUUUGGAACCUGCCUUGAUCGAACGCCACGUAGAUAUCGGGGUUCUAGAUUGAUACAUGUUCAAAAUAAUAUUACUAUUUUCAUACAUAUUACUAAAAAUAUAUUGAAUUUCAUAAAAGAAUGUAUUCCUCUUAUUUGUUUGGAUUGGGGUAGGAAAGGCUGGUCUAGAUAGACUAAGGGGUUUCUCCAAAUGUGGAUGGAAAUGGUGGCUCUUUUACUAAAAAUGUCAUGAUUUACCUCUCGGAGGAAGUCUAGCAAAGUCUACAUAAGUGUUCUCGGCUUGCAUACUUUUUGAAGGUCUUGAGCCUCCAAAUUUGGAGGCUGGGUGCGCUGAUAUGAAGCAAGCUCCAAACCAAAUUUGGAGCCUAGGUCUUUCCUGUUGGUUAUACCUAGCAAUGACGAUAUUUUUAAGUCGUCACCUUGUUGAAGGCGUUCCUCGGAUAUGCUCAGACUGGUUUUUUAGGGUGAAAAUCUAGAUUCUGGUCAUGGGUGGCUGGAUCUGGUGACGUCGGCACUUGAGCGUCGAUCCCUUCCUGAAGGCGCGAAAAACUUCAUCAAGCGUGUGAUGUCAUGAGAUGGUUGAUGCGGAUAUGGUCAUUGUUGUAGUUUGUCGACAGCAGAGCCAAUCGCUUAGGAUUUCUCUUUUUUCUUCACAUAAGCAUAGUUUUGGUCUUAUAUGACUUUGCUAUUUGCUGGCGUGUUCUUAUGUACGUGCGCUGGUGUUGGCUGUGUGCAUCCUAGCUAUGCAGAAGCCGUGUGUGCUCACUGAAAAAAAUUGCUAUUGAAAAUUGUUUGUUUUCUGUCUUUUUUUAUUAGCACAUAGUACUAUGCAGUAUCUUUGUACAAUUUUUGGUAGUAUUUUUUCUACAAUCACAAAAUGUGGCACAUUCACGCUUCAAUUUUUAUUGUUUUGAGAUACAUGCAUCUUGUCAACGGGGAACCGGAAGCGGCUACUUGGGGAAAAUCCACGUUCGGCCAAACGACGAAUUUUUGGGGACAUAUCACAUACGUGACACUUCCACCUUCUUUGCUUACUAUAGCGGUACGUAGACCGUCGUUCCAAGGCAUAUAUACACUUCAGGUCAUGCGCAGUCAGUCAGAAUUGCUAACAAUGUUUUCCACCUAGAAUCACAUGCAUAUUGCUUCUGCUUGUCAAGUCCUCUUUCCGCUUUGCACUACAAGAGUUGCAUUCUUCAUUUCCGCGCCAUUCCUAGCCUCGCCUCACCUCACCAACCGCACGAGCACGAGCACAUGAUUUCAUGGCAGAUGUCUGAUUUAGUCGUCGAAUCCUGACGGAGGCAAGCAUGGGGGAGCCUAGGGAGCAGUGGUGGAGGACAUCGAUGCAGCUCAACACGGACCAAUGCUUUCUCUGUUUCCUCUCGUGCACCAAUAGUUUAGAUACAUACAUGCAUGUUCCUCCUUGUGUUUAGUGUAACAUGUUUCCCUACUCCACUCUACGGUUAAUGCUGGCUAGGCCUGAGAGUCAACUCGUAGCAAGCUAGGCACACAAAUGACCAUCAAAUUAACGGAGUGGUUGACCACAGAGUUGCAUACAGAGCAAGUGUGGAGUUCACAAGGUUAGUAAGGGCUCCAACCCAAUCAGUGAUAGAAACCAUCUCAGUUUUCCAUGAACCGUAUCUGUGGUACUAGAAACCAUUGAUCGGCCUAAUCAUGGGUUUUCGGCUCGGUUUUCCUUAUAAACCGGCCAUUUUGUGAGGUUUUCGAUCCGGUUUCCUUUAUAAACUGGAUCAACUCUCUUCUUCUAUAAUGCAAUGCCAGAGCUCCUGGCCCUCUGACGAGAUUCCGUCAAAAAAAAAAGGGCUGGCCACCACUCUCAGGCCAUGUCGCAACAUUCCAACACAAAUCCAUACCUAGUUAUCCAUUGCAGCGUGCUGCUGGUGGCUGUCUGCGCAUGCUAAGCCUGAUGGGCAAGUGCGAGCUAACUGGUGGUGGUGAGUGAGAGCCAUGGCAUGGUUGUCCAUGCAAUGAUACAGAUCAAGGCCGGCCGGGCAUGGCCUCUGGCCAUGGCACUUGAUCAGAGUGCCGUGCUGCAUAAUGGACAAAGAUAGGGCCAAAUGACCAGCUGAAGGGCAUGGACUGCAGCUUGUUGUAUGCAUGCAUAUAGCCUCUCGGGAGCUGGAAAGAGACGCAGUUUACCAGUUUCGAGUGUAAUCGAGUCAAACGAACGAGUCGACGACUGGAAGAUGGGAUCCGAAAUCUCAAUUGACCAACUUGGGUACACCAAACUCAUGUAGAGUUGAGUCUUGUACUCCUGUAGAUGGAGGUUACAGACUUAUACUGAACGAGUUCGAUGAAUGUGUCUUAUAUGCCCUUCGCCUUGUUCUUCCUUUAGACGACACGGAAUAUUCUGAAGGGGAGAAGACGUCUAGUAAGAGUGGAGUAACCUAUUCAUUCGAAGUAUACACGCACACGCACGCACAACAUAGAUGGACCACAGUUUUUUUUGUUUGUAAAAACACAAGUUACAACAUUGACGGGCCAGCAUAGAUUAGGAUCACACCGUACGUACGUACUACCACCCUCGCCCAAACGCCGGACGGUCAAAGACAGCAUGAAUCGGCCGGAUUAUAGGCCCAGAAGCUGUCCUGCAUGCACGCAUGCAGGCAGGCAGGCUCGAUUAGCUAGCCUGUGGAGAAGAAAAGUCUCCUCAAAGUUGUAACAUCUACUGUAAUUAGGUCCACUCGUCUACUACCUCACUUUAGCUUCAGAAACUUAAGCAGCAGCCGCGUCCGAUCAUCGGCUACGGCACCUACUCAUCAGACCACGACGCCGCCAUCACAAGAACUCGUUGCAUUCAGAGGCUACCUAGUACCUACCUGCAUAGGCACUGCGUGCACACAGGCUUGAUUUCAUUCUUUACCAUGCAGCUGUCCAUCCUUUCUACUAGCAGCUAUAGCUACGUACUCCAGUUUCUACCAGUGUUUUGCAGAGACUUUGCAGUGCCUAAGCUUGGCAUGCCUCGCCUUGAUGAGCGCUUUGAGGAACAGAAUCAUGGUGUUUGAGCUUACUCGACGUGGCCGGAGAGGAGAGGCGCCGCUCUCGAGGAGACGCUAAUCAUGCUACGCCACGGGCCUACUUACCUUGUACUGUACGUACGUACACUACACGUAGCUGGUUAGUUGUUGAUAAUGUGCGAUCGUACGUGUAAAGGCUGGUCCUAAAGCGGGAUCUUUUCUUCCCCGCCUGCGUUUUUAAGCAGCAGCAGCAGAGGUGCAGAGUGUUUUUAUCGCUUUUGAGGUCCAUUCUGCGCGGGCCCGUCCAUGGAUACCGGUCACAUGGAUCGUGGAUGCUGCAUCGCAGCGAGCAAUCCUGCCGCCUGGAGCUGGACGAUGGAGCGCUGGAAAGUUGUGGGUGCGGCUGCUUGGGCUUGGCCGGCGCCCAUGGGGCUCGGUCGACCGUUCGAUGGCCGCAGGUUCGUCUGGAAUGUUUGCCUCGAGAGAUAUGAUGAAGCGGUUGAACGAACGACUGAGAGAAGGAACCUGGGUCUCAGUAGCUCCUGUGGCGACAUUGCACGCUUCGGCUUGGUUCUUCAGGGUGUUUUAUCUCGGCCCCGCCGCGUUCAGCUUGUGUCGGCCAAACUAGUGUUUUGGCCAAUCGAUCAAGUGCAUUUGCCUCACGAGGUGACCUUGGCGACACCUUAUCUUAUUCUAGGAUUCUGGUGGAUUUUGGCCCAGUGGAAUGCCUGAUGAAGUUGCAGCCUGUCUCGUAAGCAUUUCGUGCUGGCCCCGACUUGUUUCCGGUUUCAGAUGUUUAGCCGAAAAAAGAACGACAUGUUCAGAUGAGGUGCAUCAAAAGCCAUACCAUUCCGUUUCAAAAGGAAGCAUGAUAGAGUUCCGGCCAGUUAAAAAAAAACUACUUCCUCCAUUCCAUAAUGUAAGACGUAUUUAUGUUAUGUCGACGCUGUACCAACGGGUAUUGCGUUGGAAUUCUUCUCAAACAACCAUCAUUUUGGGAACAAUUUCCUCGGAGCUAGUAGAGGGUGUUGAAAAUCAGUUAGGCAUAACUGCCUACACCCACCAGGACAAUCUCAGUUCAUCAGUUCCAUGCUCCGGAUCAAGGGUUCAGACUCGAAUAGGGGGCUGCCAACGAGGAAGAACUCUACGGGCGUGCGUCGUGCCCACUCCAUGUUCCACGCAUGCAAGCGUGGCAUGGUUGAUUCUUGGAUAAAAAAUAAUUCAGAAAACCCUUGUGGUGAGAUGCUAAGAGACGUUAGAAACGAAGAGUAUACAAAGGUGUGUGAACGUUGAUGGAGGUGCAGCUCUCCCUGCUGUGCUGCAUGCCAUCUUGUAUACCGAGGCAAAGCCGUGAUCCGCACUUGGCCUGGCUACGGCGUCCGUGUUGUCUCACCAUUUGGCACUGCCGCCUCCUCUCUCGAUACCAUGCCUCCAAUUAAACCUUGUUGAAAGGUUGAUGAUGGUCAACCUUUCACACGAAUCAGACACAUUCUGUUGGAAGUCGACUGUCUUCACAGUCAAAUCCAUGCAUACAGACCUCAUCAAUGAUGGGCAACAUUUUCACUACAAAUUUAUAUGAAAAAUGAAAGUCCCAUUGAAAAUAAAAUUCUUCAUGUGGUACUCGGAUCGCAAGGUCAUCCUAACAAAAGAUAAUCUGAUAAAAAGAGAUUGGCAAGGAUGCACCAAGUGUUGCUUUUGUGGCGAUGAGGAGUUGAUUGAGCAUCUAUUCCUUCAAUGCCCACUUGCCAAGCUACUAUGGCAAACGAUCCAUAUAGCUUUCAAUCUACCUCCACCGACGAGUAGUACAAAUAUGUUUGGAAACUGGUUAGUGGGGAUGCACCCUAAGUUGAAGUCUCGGAUUCGUGUGGGAAUUUGUGCUUUACUUUGGGCCGUUUGGAACACUCAUAAUGAUUGUAUUUUUAACAGAACGAAAGUUUCAAAUUUUUUGCAGGUUAUCUUCAAGGCCAGCAGCUGGAUCCAUACGUGGUCAUUACUACAUAAGGAGGAGGAUCGGGCGCCUACGGUCUUUGGGUGCAACCGAUGAGAAAUGGUCCCUCAGGAUUUGUUUAGCCGAUUUGGCUGGCGGCCUACUAGGAGGAUUUGUGAUGCAUGAGACCCAUUUUCCUACGAUAUUCUAUUUUUUUUAAUUUGCCCUUAGGGCAGUCAUGUGCGACAAAUUAUUGGUUGAACUUUGUUAUGGUCGGAUGAUGAACUUUGAUAUGAUAAAUAAAAGGUUGUGCUCGAUGCAGAGGUCGAGG
RNAcentral lists this long non-coding RNA (9754 nucleotides) under Triticum aestivum (bread wheat). RNAcentral describes it as "long non-coding RNA (TAES_LNC023883)". Lineage: Eukaryota; Viridiplantae; Streptophyta; Magnoliopsida; Poales; Poaceae. The record is from RNAcentral.